AGUACUCCUUCUUCUGAGGAGGCAGGGGGGUUUGUGCGAAAGGGAGAGUGGAGGAGGUGGGAGUCAUAGCCAUUCAUAACCAGUAUUUGUAUUUUAUUACGGGACUGUGAGGGGAGGGGGUUAGAAGGACGUACUAACACUAUUAAAACACAAGCAUUCUGGGAGAUUCAGCCAGAUGGAGAGAAAGAGAAAACAGGUGAAAGAGAAGAGAGAGGGAUGGGAGCACCUUACAACACUAAGUAAAGGUACACUAAGUAAAGGUACACUAAUGUUUAGCGAGAUAAGCUUUUUGCCGGUACACCUCUUGGUACGCUUUUUGUAGACUUUUGAAUCCAUUCAUGGAUGUAGGUAGUGAGAGAGAUAUCCUCUGAACCCAGCAGUACCAUACCUCAAUAUCCUGCAGACGUUCUACUGGCCAACAGUACACUCUCACAGAGGUGGAGAUGGAGGACAACCAUAUACUUACAAGGUGGCAAAGAGACUAGGCUAGAACCGGCAGGCAGGAUACAUAUACCUCAGUCACUUUUUCAACCUCUCUCUUUUUCGCUCCUCAUUUUCUGGUUUUCUUUAAUGGUAGAGAAGUGGCCAGAGGUAGAAAGAGAGCGAAUAUAUAUUAAGAUAAAAUACUUUAUUAUUGAUAAUAAUAAUGAUACGAUUAAACAAUAAUGAUAAUGGAAAUAAUGAUGGUCGGAAUUAAUAGUAUUCAUUUUAUUUUGUUUUUAAAAUGCCUUUUAUUGUAUGUUGUUUACUCCAUGUAAAGCGUAACACUUGUUCCUGCCCCCAUCCGAUUAUUUCAGUUGAAAUUUGUUUGUGCCUUUUUUUAUAUUGCUAAGCCUCAUACUCAGUCUUUCCCUCAUGCUCAUACAGUCCUCUCCUCCUGGACCUCAUCCUAAUUUAAUUUUAACGUGCAGAAAUAGAAUAUAAGAAAAAUAUAAGGGGGAGGGAGGCAUUUUUCUACUCGUGCCUUUUUGUGUUAUCACCUCUGUCAUACUCCUUCAACCUGUGCCUGGGUUGUGUGGCCAUGUCCGUCUGUUUGCCAUUCAGUUCAGUGCCUCUAUCUUUCUUUCUCUUUGGAUCUCCCUCCUCCCUCUCUUUGUUUAUACCUUUACUUCUUGUUUGUCCUCUCCUCUACUCAGAGCCUUGUAAUCAUCUUUUACACAUCUUACCCCAUCCCCCUGUUCAUCCUUUUCAAAUGUUGAACUCUAUUUGUGCCUUUCUGUCUCUGUCUGUCUCUUGCUCUCUCUUUUGCUGGGGACCUUGUGUUGACGGUGGGCAGGGUUUUGUCCAACCUUUGUGGUUAGUUUCAGGUACUACAUUGAAUUUAAUGAUAUGAUAUAAUAUAAUUAUACUGAAACAUUAUGGUCUAGUGUGUUGUUGCUUUGGCUCACUGUUAUUGUUUCUUACUGAAUAAAGGGGAAGGAUGUAAAGGAAUGUUACAGUAAUUCUUGCAGCUUUGGGUUGUCGCUAGUUGCCACAAAGUCAAAUGAAUGUCAUAAAAUUAAUCAAAAC
Oncorhynchus tshawytscha (Chinook salmon) is the source of this 1509-nucleotide long non-coding RNA. The record is from Ensembl. Lineage: Eukaryota; Metazoa; Chordata; Actinopteri; Salmoniformes; Salmonidae.